CGCGCAGGCGGUCGUUCAAGUCGGAUGUGAAAGCCCCCGGCUCAACUGGGGAGGGUCAUUCGAUACUGAUCGACUCGAAGGCAGGAGAGGGAAGCGGAAUUCCCGGUGUAGUGGUGAAAUGCGUAGAUAUCGGGAGGAACACCAGUGGCGAAGGCGGCUUUCUGGCCUGUUCUUGACGCUGAGGCGCGAAAGCUAGGGGAGCAAACG
RNAcentral lists this ribosomal RNA (207 nucleotides) under uncultured bacterium. Its description in RNAcentral is "partial 16S ribosomal RNA". It matches the Rfam family "Bacterial small subunit ribosomal RNA", at positions 568 to 774 of the family's 1533-position model. The record is from RNAcentral.